UGGCUUUGAUCCUUGUCCCUUGUCGGCGUGCGUUUGUGCCGCUCCGAAUGGAACGCUAUAAAUGUUUUGUUGACAAGUUAACCAACCCCGGCACGGAAUGUGCCAAGGAAAAAAAAAACAAAAAAAGGUUGUACCUGGUUUUUGCCCCGUUCGCGGUGUGCAUGCUGGUUGUGACCUCUUUGAAACAAAAACGACUCUCGGCAACGGAUAUCUCGGCUCACGCAUCGAUAAAAAACGUACCAAAAUGCGAUACUUGGUGUGAAUUGCAAAAUCCCGUGAACCAUCGAGUUUUUGAACGCAAGUUGCGCCCAAAGCCAUCCGGUUGAGGGCACGCCUGCCUGGGCGUCACGCAUCGCGUCGCUCCCCCAUGUAUAUCAAAUUUGGGAUGCAUGGUGUCGGGGCGGAAAUUGGUCUCCCGUGCAACUGCUGCGGUUGGCCCAAACAUGAGUCACCUUCGGUUGACGCACGGCUAGUGGUGGUUGAAUAGGCCCUCGUCUUUUGUCGUGCGUCGUUUGCUGCAAGGAAAGCUCUUGUAUAAAACCCUAU
Molecule: ribosomal RNA, 546 nt
Filed under: Tragopogon capitatus
Lineage: Eukaryota; Viridiplantae; Streptophyta; Magnoliopsida; Asterales; Asteraceae
Description: eukaryotic LSU rRNA
Rfam family: 5.8S ribosomal RNA (bases 193-348)
Source: RNAcentral